CCUACGGGUGGCAGCAGUGAGGAAUAUUGGUCAAUGGCCGGAAGGCUGAACCAGCCAUGCCGCGUGAAGGUCAGUGCCCUAUGGGCGUUAAACUUCUUUUGUGCGGGAGCAAUAAUGGUCACGUGUGGCCAGACGAGAGUUCCGUACGAAUAAGCAUCGGCUAACUCCGUUCCAGCCGCCGCGGUAAUACGGGGGAUGCAAGCGUUUUCCGGAUUUAUUGGGUUUAAAGGGUGCGUUGGCUGGGAGGUAAGUCAGCGGGGGAAAGCCCCCGCUCAACGGGGUGAAGUGCCAUUGAUACGGCCUUGCUGGAAUGCGGAUGCGGUAGGAGGAAUGUGUGGUGUAGCGGUGAAAUGCAUAGAUAUCACACAGAACACCGAUUGCGAAGGCAGCUCACGAAUCCGCGAUUGACGCUGAUGCACGAAAGCGUGGGUAUCAAACAGGAUUAGAUACCCUGGUAGUC
This 460-nucleotide ribosomal RNA is filed under the name uncultured bacterium. RNAcentral's name for it is "partial 16S ribosomal RNA". It matches the Rfam family "Bacterial small subunit ribosomal RNA", at positions 338 to 795 of the family's 1533-position model. The record is from RNAcentral.